GAUGAACGCUGGCGGCGUGCCUAAUACAUGCAAGUCGAGCGAACGGACGAGAAGCUUGCUUCUCUGAUGUUAGCGGCGGACGGGUGAGUAACACGUGGAUAACCUACCUAUAAGACUGGGAUAACUUCGGGAAACCGGAGCUAAUACCGGAUAAUAUUUUGAACCGCAUGGUUCAAAAGUGAAAGACGGUCUUGCUGUCACUUAUAGAUGGAUCCGCGCUGCAUUAGCUAGUUGGUAAGGUAACGGCUUACCAAGGCAACGAUGCAUAGCCGACCUGAGAGGGUGAUCGGCCACACUGGAACUGAGACACGGUCCAGACUCCUACGGGAGGCAGCAGUAGGGAAUCUUCCGCAAUGGGCGAAAGCCUGACGGAGCAACGCCGCGUGAGUGAUGAAGGUCUUCGGAUCGUAAAACUCUGUUAUUAGGGAAGAACAUAUGUGUAAGUAACUGUGCACAUCUUGACGGUACCUAAUCAGAAAGCCACGGCUAACUACGUGCCAGCAGCCGCGGUAAUACGUAGGUGGCAAGCGUUAUCCGGAAUUAUUGGGCGUAAAGCGCGCGUAGGCGGUUUUUUAAGUCUGAUGUGAAAGCCCACGGCUCAACCGUGGAGGGUCAUUGGAAACUGGAAAACUUGAGUGCAGAAGAGGAAAGUGGAAUUCCAUGUGUAGCGGUGAAAUGCGCAGAGAUAUGGAGGAACACCAGUGGCGAAGGCGACUUUCUGGUCUGUAACUGACGCUGAUGUGCGAAAGCGUGGGGAUCAAACAGGAUUAGAUACCCUGGUAGUCCACGCCGUAAACGAUGAGUGCUAAGUGUUAGGGGGUUUCCGCCCCUUAGUGCUGCAGCUAACGCAUUAAGCACUCCGCCUGGGGAGUACGACCGCAAGGUUGAAACUCAAAGGAAUUGACGGGGACCCGUACAAGCGGUGGAGCAUGUGGUUUAAUUCGAAGCAACGCGAAGAACCUUACCAAAUCUUGACAUCCUUUGACAACUCUAGAGAUAGAGCCUUCCCCUUCGGGGGACAAAGUGACAGGUGGUGCAUGGUUGUCGUCAGCUCGUGUCGUGAGAUGUUGGGUUAAGUCCCGCAACGAGCGCAACCCUUAAGCUUAGUUGCCAUCAUUAAGUUGGGCACUCUAAGUUGACUGCCGGUGACAAACCGGAGGAAGGUGGGGAUGACGUCAAAUCAUCAUGCCCCUUAUGAUUUGGGCUACACACGUGCUACAAUGGACAAUACAAAGGGCAGCGAAACCGCGAGGUCAAGCAAAUCCCAUAAAGUUGUUCUCAGUUCGGAUUGUAGUCUGCAACUCGACUACAUGAAGCUGGAAUCGCUAGUAAUCGUAGAUCAGCAUGCUACGGUGAAUACGUUCCCGGGUCU
RNAcentral lists this ribosomal RNA (1372 nucleotides) under uncultured bacterium. RNAcentral's name for it is "bacterial SSU rRNA". It matches the Rfam family "Bacterial small subunit ribosomal RNA", at positions 28 to 1381 of the family's 1533-position model. The record is from RNAcentral.